Molecule: long non-coding RNA, 337 nt
Filed under: Gossypium barbadense (sea-island cotton)
Lineage: Eukaryota; Viridiplantae; Streptophyta; Magnoliopsida; Malvales; Malvaceae
Description: long non-coding RNA (GBAR_LNC007360)
Source: RNAcentral
GCAAAAGAAGUCGUGUGGCCCCCAUCGAGUCCCUCGCAACACCAACCCGCCUAAGGAUUACCUGCACAGGAAAGCAGAAGGGUGAGUUGAUGAAAACUCAGUGUGUAAUCCUUUAUCAACGAACUAUCGUACAGUAAGCAGAUACAGUCUGGGCCUAAGCCCGUUUCAGUAGCAGUUCAAUCUCAGUUAGGGCCUUAGCCUAAUACAGUAACAGUGUCAAUAUGGGCCUUAGCCCAUCUUAGUAACAGUAACAGAAAUGCAAUCAGAAAAUCCUACCCAUCCAUUCUCUACACUCCAUUCCGUCCAGCCCUACACUCUAUGUGGGGAUAAAAUCGAC